RNAcentral lists this ribosomal RNA (582 nucleotides) under uncultured bacterium. RNAcentral describes it as "partial 16S ribosomal RNA". It matches the Rfam family "Bacterial small subunit ribosomal RNA", at positions 355 to 1375 of the family's 1533-position model. The record is from RNAcentral.
UGGGGAAUUUUGGACAAUGGGCGAAAGCCUGAUCCAGCAAUGCCGCGUGUGUGAAGAAGGCCUUCGGGUUGUAAAGCACUUUUGUCCGGAAAGAAAUCCUUGGCUCUAAUACAGUCGGGGGAUGACGGUACCGGAAGAAUAAGCACCGGCUAACUACGUGCCAGCAGCCGCGGUAAUACGUAGGGUGCAAGCGUUAAUCGGAAUUACUGGGCGUAAAGCGUGCGCAGGCGGUUUGCUAAGACCGAUGUGAAAUCCCCGGGCUCAACCUGGGAACUGCAUUGGUGACUGGCAGGCUAGAGUAUGGCAGAGGGGGGUAGAAUUCCACGUGUAGCAGUGAAAUGCGUAGAGAUGUGGAGGAAUACCGAUGGCGAAGGCAGCCCCCUGGGCCAAUACUGACGCUCAUGCACGAAAGCGUGGGGAGCAAACAGGAUUAGAUACCCUGGUAGUCCACGCCCUAAACGAUGUCAACUAGUUGUGGGGAUUCAUUCUUAGUAACGUAGCUAACGCGUGAAGUUGACCGCCUGGGGAGUACGGUCGCAAGAUUAAAACUCAAAUGAAUUGACGGGGUCAUAGCUGUUUCCU